Triticum aestivum (bread wheat) is the source of this 769-nucleotide long non-coding RNA. RefSeq lists it as uncharacterized. The record is from RefSeq and is a predicted model, not a curated record. The transcript has 3 exons. Lineage: Eukaryota; Viridiplantae; Streptophyta; Magnoliopsida; Poales; Poaceae.
ACGGGCUCCUCAAUGCGUACGGUAGCGCCGCCGCCGCGCGCCCGUUCCUCUCUGGCGGCGCCGCCGCCCUGCUCUCGUUCCCCUCCCUAUCCAUCUCAAUCUUCUCCCGCACCACCACGAUCUUCAACCUCCUGCUGCCGUUUGUUUCCGAUUUGGAUCGGAGUCCGUGUUCCCCCAGGAUAAGUGCUGCAACACGAAUCCAUGGCGUGCCCGACCCAGAUUUCAGAGAGACUUGGCUGCCAUUAGAAGGAGCCCUCGACCGGAAUCUCCAUUAAAUCGCUUCAUAUCGCAACUUUUGAAGAGUCGUCCAGGAUCGUCUCAGCCGAGUUCGCCGGAAGAAAAUCCGCCGCCCAAGCGUACUACAUCUGAGCCGGAAGAACAUCCCCUGCCGGACAUGCUACCCCAGAGAUCACAUCUUCCUUUGCUAGAACACGUGAGCUGAUUCCGACUUUGGCCUCAAGUUGCUCCCGUCAAUGACAAGUGGGAGGAGUGGGAGUGCUGUGUUCAUGAAAUUGAGUAUCUCAGAAGAAUUUGGUUUGGCACUUAUUUUCCUCAACCUGUUAUUCUUCAAAUGUGCUUCCCAUGGAUUUGAUAAAUUUGGUGAGAUAAUGUUAUGUGUCAGGUAUGGCCAUAAGAUACUCAUGAAACUUAUUUUAUUUUGCCUCACACAAGAUGUAUGUUGUUUAGACUCAUGUACUGCCAGUACUGGUAGAUCGAUGAUCUAAGGAUCAUAUGAAUGAUUAAUGGAGGAUAAUUCAUAUUCAGUUCU